UACGGGGGGAGCAAGCGUUGUUCGGAUUUACUGGGCGUAAAGGGCGCGUAGGCGGCUUCAUAAGUCAAAGGUGAAAUCCCUCGGCUCAACUGAGGAACUGCCUUUGAAACUGUGGAGCUUGAGGCCGGGAGGGGGUAGCGGAAUUCCCAGUGUAGCGGUGAAAUGCGUAGAUAUUGGGAGGAACACCAGUGGCGAAGGCGGCUACCUGGACCGGAACUGACGCUGAUGCGCGAAAGCGUGGGUAGCAAGCAGG
RNAcentral lists this ribosomal RNA (253 nucleotides) under uncultured bacterium. RNAcentral's name for it is "partial 16S ribosomal RNA". It matches the Rfam family "Bacterial small subunit ribosomal RNA", at positions 524 to 776 of the family's 1533-position model. The record is from RNAcentral.